This is a long non-coding RNA of Oncorhynchus tshawytscha (Chinook salmon), 2830 nucleotides long. RefSeq lists it as uncharacterized. Lineage: Eukaryota; Metazoa; Chordata; Actinopteri; Salmoniformes; Salmonidae. The record is from RefSeq and is a predicted model, not a curated record. The transcript has 6 exons.
AGACAUAGGGUGCGUUCAUAAAUUCACUCUGGCUAUCUACUCCGAUUUCAGAGCACUCUCGCCAGACCACAGUAUAACUGCUGAAUUUACGAAUGCUCACCAGUUGAAUAUGGCCGGUGUCAGUAAACGUUGGCAAAAUGCGUAAUUAUAUUGUUGCCAAUAGCACAGUUACAGUCACCAACGCUCUGGAUAACACGAAAACAGCCUAAUCAGCUCUACUUGGCAGGGAGACAUGCAGUACCAGCAAAUCUUCUGCAAGAGAACCAAACAGUUGGUGGUUAUGAAGCCCUACACCACUUUCGGCAGUCUUAUCCAGCUGGCUGUUCAUCUCAGUUGUGUAGUUGCACCCUGACAGUGGCAAGUGGCAAGCAGGUCAUCCUGAUUGGUAUAAUUGUACGGACAGAGAUUAUCACACUACUGUCAAUGGGCUGGAAUAAGAGGAAGUUCACCAACAUGGAUCGCAUGUAACACUCGUCUGAAGAAGUGGACCAUAAUCAUAUUCUUUAAUGAUAACCACAAAAAGAAGAGAGAGAGAACCAACGAAACGUACAGCCUUGAAGGGCUCAACAGCAACAAUACAAGGACAAGAUCCUACAACAUAGAAUGUCAAAAGACUGGAGGAGACCAGCCUCGCAAAAAGCGGGAAGAGCUAGACAUCAACACCGCUGUGCUACAGGAGUGGAUUACUGAGGUCCAGCAGUGGCCUGAUGGUGGGAGUUGCCUAAGUCUAGGAACCUCAUGGGCGUGGAAGUGUGUAUGGGAUAGGACUGUAGUCAGAUGGUUUUCGGGGUGGGCCCCCUAUGGCCCCCCUCCCAGCAGUGUCUUCUCUCCAACUGCUGACGUUAUCUUGAGUUGAGUUCCACAUCCCUCAUUGUCCUAAUUCCACAGCAACUGGCCUGCCUUAUCAGUAACUGAAACCUAACUGCUACCCUUUGCCUCUUUACUUAGAAAUAUUAAUAUUCAGCAAUAACAUGUUUGAAUAGAAUAAGAACUUUCUGCACUUCCCUUGUCUCACUCAGUAACUUUCCAUACCCAAAGUUCCUAUUCACCCUUCAUUGACACCUAACAUGUAAAGUAAUCAAUACGUUCUAAUAUGAUGACAGGAAUAAGUAUGUUUCAAGCCAGAAUCCAACAGGUAGAAAAAUGACCGUUUCUGUCUCAACUUCAUAAUUGCAUUAAUGUCAGUGGAGUCAUGUUUGACAGACACACUUCAGGAUCGUCAGACGGGGCAUCUCCAGAAGAAGCUUGAAGGGCUUUACCACAGUGUGAAAGAGGAAACUACUUCUACCAUUUGACAGGUAAGCCCCAACAACAGUAUGACCUCAAACAUAUUAUUAAUCAAGCAGUAAAAGUGAGUUGUGAAAGAGAAUGCAUUAGUCAUACACAUCAGACCAUGUUAAUGAUCAAAUGUAGGUAUGACCUAUGUUAUUAAUUGAUCUAAUGCAAAACAUGUAAUUAAACUGAGAAAUUAUGUGACCAUGAACCUCUUGUGAGCCACACCUCUGCAUGCCUUGUGUAAUGUUAACUACAUGACGACAAAUGCUUUGGAAAUGAGUUGCUUGCUUUGUAUUCUUUGUUUGUGCCUCUAUAGUAGCUCUAACUUAUAGUCAUGUAAUAUAUCUGAAUAUACAGUCCAUCUAAUCACCCUUUUUAUUUUGACGGCAACAAGAGGCGGCAUCUGAUUCUGAGAAAUUGAGGACAAAGCAGCCUUGACAGCUGCCAUUGUUCAACUUCACGAGCAGCAGGCAGAGUUUAGGCUCCCCACAGUGGAUGAGCAGCUCAAUACUGAUAACUUUGUGUGGCCAUGGGAGAGACUUGGCACCAGUAAAUAUAUGAUUGCAGAAAGUAUCUUUUGUUAUUGAAUGUUUACCUUCAGCGUAGGCUGCAAUCAUUGCUGUUCUGUUAUAUACCUCUGGGUUUACAGCUCACAGGCAACUGCCAUCAAAAGGCAAUCUUCAACAGACUGAUGUUAGUGAACAGACUGCAGGAGGAAGAGAGGAUCCUGGUCCGGGAGAUGAAGAGGCACUGGGGGAGCCUACAAAGAGCAGUGGGAACUGUGGCGGCACUGUACCUACAAGAUAAGUUGAGGUUUAUACUAUUUUUGGACUGAACUUUUUGUCUUGCUUUUACAAAUACCCUCCACACUAUUUUGUGUAAUGGAAUUGUAAAUGUACUGCUUACAUGUGACUUUUAGGUAAUGCAGUGGAGUUUUCAGAGGGAGGGAAGAAUGGCCUUCUCUGCCACCCGAAGAGAAGAUUGAGUGAACUGACACAAGACCAAGUUGACACCAGGAAUACCUACCACAAGCUGAUUCUGGGAGAAGGGGAUAUUUUUUUAUGACUGAUGUAGGUGAGAACUCCGAUGAAGAUAGAAGUUCUAUUGCUGAGAGCUCAGAUGACAACUGCUAUGCUUUCUGAAAUCCUACACCACCCCUGCCUCUUUCUCUCGGUCUCACUUUCUUCCGCAGGAGAGGGAGAAGGCCGCCAACCACCUCCCUUGGGAGCAGCCUGGUCUCCUGACGUUGACCCCUCACCUUCUGAACCCAUCCAGGGAAAUGUAAUUUGCCUGAUGAUGUGCUAGUGGAGAAGGAAUGUGUCAUGUUUCCUCUCCUCACCACCUCUCUUCCGGUCCUAGACUAUGGCAACAUCAUCUGCAACUCAUACUGUUGGUUGAGGACCUCUUACUGAGGAAUGUGGUUCUUCAUUAUUAUUUAUCUGUAUUUACUACAAGUAUUUUCUAUGCUGCCAUGAUUGGGGUUUUUGUGAGUUGCAAAAGAGUCCUUGAUCUCAAUGGGACUGCUAAAAUAAAUAAAGGUCUUAACAAAUAAAUA